Molecule: long non-coding RNA, 493 nt
Filed under: Mytilus galloprovincialis (Mediterranean mussel)
Lineage: Eukaryota; Metazoa; Mollusca; Bivalvia; Mytilida; Mytilidae
Source: RNAcentral
GUCGAUAUUUAUCAAUUUUCUUCAUAUCCAAGAUAAAAAAAAUAGUUUUCUAGCUUACUCAAGAUUUGGUUACAUGUUUCUGGUUUACUCAGUGUUUUGUUUAGACAGGUUUCUGGUGUAGUCAGUGUUUGGUUUAGACAGGUUUCUGGUGUACUCAGAGUUGAACUCAGGAUCUGGUUUAGCCAUUGAUAUGGUGUACUCAGGGUAAGGUCAAGAAUGGUGUUUAAUAUAGUAAGGGUUUGGUUUAUACAGGUCUCUUGUGUAUUCAUGGCUUGGUUAAGACAGGUUUCUGAUUUACUCACGCUUUAGUUUUGACAGAUUUACCAUUUACUCAUGGUUGGGUUUCGACAGGAUUUUGGAGUACUUAGGAUUUGGUUUAGAUAGGUUCUUGUGUAUUUAAUGUUUCGAUUUUACAGUUUUCUGGUGUACUUGUGGCUUGGUUUAAAUUUUAGGUGUGUAUUGAUUAAUAUGGGUUUCUUGUUUAUUCACGGUU